UUCCCACAUCGGGGAUCAAACCCGGGCCUCCUGAGUGAGAGCUAGGUAUCCUAGCCACUCGACCACUUGAUGA
This is a non-coding RNA of Cordylochernes scorpioides, 73 nucleotides long. The record is from the annotation of a GenBank genome assembly. NCBI's taxonomy places the organism in Eukaryota, Metazoa, Arthropoda, Arachnida, Pseudoscorpiones, Chernetidae.